GGCCGAGUAUCGAUGGAUAUCGAUAAGAAUUAAAACCAAGAAUCACGGUUUUGACAAAAAAAACAAAAAUACAAGAAAAAAAAAACAAGAAAAAAAAACUAAGAAUCAGGACAUCUGUAAAAACAAGUGCAAGCCUGUGGGUUAGUGAUAGUGCACGCCGCCACGGUGCUUUUGUUGGGAUGUUUCUUUAGGCAAGUAUUCAAGCAAACCGAAUAUUCACACUUAUCCACCCGCAUAGAGUCUUCGCAAUAAUUAACAAUUUUGUUCAUAGUCGAUUCAGCUGUAAAUACAAAUAUUCAGAAAUUUUUGAAGCUUAAUUUCAUAAAAUAUUAUGACUAGAACGAGAAGUUAGAAGGGUCACCUGAACACAGAAGGGCUACCAGGCAGAAACAGAAGAAUUGUAGCUUUGCCAUUAUUCUAGUA
RNAcentral lists this long non-coding RNA (423 nucleotides) under Daucus carota (carrot). RNAcentral's name for it is "long non-coding RNA (DCAR_LNC003245)". Lineage: Eukaryota; Viridiplantae; Streptophyta; Magnoliopsida; Apiales; Apiaceae. The record is from RNAcentral.